UUUUUUUUGGUCUUUUUUUUAGGGCCACAUGUGUGGCAUGUGGAGGCUCCCAGGCUAGGGGUUGAAUUGGAGCUACAGCUACCAGCCUACAGCACAGCCACAGCAACUCAGGAUCCGAGCCUCAUCUGCGACCUACGUCACAGCUGAGGGCAAUGUCAGAUUCUUAACCCACUGAGUGAGGCCAGGAAUUGACCCUGCAUCCUCAUGGAUGCUAGCCAGAUUCAUUCCCGCUGAGCCAGGAUGGGAACUCCUGCCUUGUUGUUCUUUAUCAGUGAGUCUGACAGAAUCUUUUGGGAUGUGUGGCUGACCAAUCUGCUCUCUGAACCAUCACCCAAAACUGUUCAGACAAAUGGAAACGUUUCCCUGAAGGAAGGGGUAGCCUCAUUGACUAACAUGCAGUCAUGAUCAUCUUUAUCCCCUUGGACCUUAAUUUAAGAGUGAGAGAGAUCAGGAGCACAGAAGCAAAAAUGUUUAAGCCAGGGCUUUGGGAAGCAAACAUACAUAAUAACAGCAUGGUCUCUGGCUCGGGCAGAUGAAGGCAAAGAGGAGAGGAUAAACUUUCACUGGCAAAUCUGAGGUGGUUGCCGAGAUGGGAAAACAAGACUAGUAACCAGAAUGUGGACUGUCUGUCUUCUUUCUCCUCUAAAGCUCAGUGACUUAUCCAGAGCGCUGGUUUUUCCUCUUCAGUUCAAGAUGUAAGGAGAAUUCAGAAUAAAACAGAUGAGAAACUUUUUUUUUUAAGAAAAACAUUUUUUUUCUUUUGUCUUUUUAGGGCCGCACUUUCGGCACAUGGAGGUUCCCAGGCUAGGGGUCGAAUCGGAGCUGUAGCCACCGGCCUACACCAGAGCCACAGCAACGUGGGAUCCGAGCCGCAUCUGCAACCUACACCAGAGCUCACAGCCAGAUCCUUAACCCACUGAGCGAGGCCAGGGAUUGAACCUGCCACCUUAUGGUUCCUAGUCAGAUUCGUUUCCACUGUGCUAAGACGGGAACUCCAAGAAAAAUUUGUUUUUUAAUGGCAUUUCUCUUGCCUGUUUCAGGAGUUGCUACUUGCUCCCCUGACUCAUUUUAAAAAUUUAGAGACUUGCUCCUAGUAAGUAUGUAUUCAUCAGACUUGGGAAUGAAUUUUUAACACUUUCAUAUUCUUAGCAAAGGGGAUAUUUUCUUUGGAAGCUGGCCAUUAAUAAUUAUAUGGAUGGCACUCAAUAGGAAAGAAGAUUUUUAGAAAAACAAAGACUGCAGUUUAGGCAUUGAAUUCAUAAUCUCUACCUUCUUUCAAAAUCUAUUGCUGUUUUCUUUUGGAAAUGAUAGCUUUUUUCUUGUUCCUUAGAACUUGGGUCGUUUGAAGACCUGCCACCAUCUGGGGGCUAACCAUGGCAAAAUGGGUUUUUUUUUCCAGCACUGUAUUGCUUUAAAAAUAUACUAAAAGUAUCAUUUAUCAAAACGUCUAUUAAUGGUUUAGGCCCCCUUAGCUCCAUGACUGAACUUGCAAGUGGCUUUACCCCAAAUUCAGAAUGUGAAACUUUGACAGCCGAUGGGAGAAGGGUAAGAUGAAAUCCAUUCAUGGACUGGUCCAUCUUUUCAUCCUUCACAAUGACAGAAAUCUCAGGUACUGCCAAUGUGGUUUAAACUGCAUUUGUAUAUAAACAUGGCUUCACCAUAUUGCCUGAUCUUUCCAAUUUUGAGUGGACGGUAUUUUUCAACUUGAUGACAACAAAUUGUAAAUUGGAGCUGUUCUCAAAUUUGGGUGCAUCAGGAUGAGUUUAUAUGGAUAGCAAAUGUUGACUGCUAGCAGCAAAAUAACUUUUCCCCAAGGAGUCAAAACACUGACCAAGAAGAGUACACUAACUAAUCAACUCCUACAAUUAGCCACGUAGAUGGUUGGAAUUUAGGGGACGGGGUCAUGGUAGGUAUCCUAGGGGGAUAAUUCAGGGUGAUCAAGUCUGCACUUGAAAUGUGAACGAGUGGGUUCUUCUGAGCUGAAAGACCUGGAUGGCAAGGGUGGGUGAAGUACUUGGGGCCCUGGGUCUUCCCAGGUCUAGAGUUGUUCUGGAAGACAAACUCUUUUCCCACUCCCUGCAGGCAGUAAUGGAGGCUGACUCACAGGUUCAAGGUCACUUGAACUGGGUUGGCCUUGGACGUGGUGAUGGUGCUUCUCAGUGUUCUUAUUCUACCUCGGGCUCUAGGAAAGGUCAAAUGAAGUCAUGUAUCUGAAAGAAACAUACUUUCUUAUACAAGUGAAAGGGUCAGUGUUUAGCCCCCCACCACCAGGACUAUGGUGUUAAGAUGCAGUCUAAAAAUAACUUAGUGCAUCUCAACAAAGGAAGCAACUAAUUUUUUUCCCAUGACACAUAUAUUCCCAGUUUGUCUUCACCCUCAGACAAAGACCAUAAUGUUUUCUAUGUGGGAAAAAAAACUGCAUUUUGUGGUUAGUGGACACUUUAAAAUACCUACGUACCUACCAGUUCUAAAGCAAGGAUUUUGCCAUGUCAGAGGUGGAACAUCAGAAAUUUUGUCCUGGCAUGAGAGGCAGGAUGGAGUGGGAAGGGGUGCAGAGGGGCUGGCCAAGGGCUUUGGCACAAGGAGGCAGCGUGUGCUGUGUCAAACUGCAGGGGCUCCCAGUUGCCUUUUCCCAAGGUACAAGGCUGCUCUUUGCCAGGCCCUCAUCACAGUGGUCACGGUAGCAAAAAGAGGGAGGAAGUUAGGAUUACAGUCAUUCAGUGCUUUGGGCCUGGCCUGGGCAUGCCAGGAGGCAGAGUGAGAGUUGGAUAACACUUCAUUAUAUUUUGAUCAGAGGCAAGGUUAGUUUAAGGGUAUUGUCUUUUUAUAUUCAAGUCUUCCAUAAGAAUGAUUUCUGGGGAGAUAUGACUUCUUGCCCUGCUACGAUUUUAGUUGCCCAGUGUCAAUGUGUGAGUUUGUGGGGCUGAUGGAAGAGCUUGACCUGAUGGCGAUGGAAGGUGAAAUCUGCUUUUCCCAACUGUUAAAACUGGAGGCCAAAGGCUGCAUCUGCCCAUGUACAGGUUCUCUUUGGUCUGCACAGUAUUGGCCAAGAAUUUGAGUUUAGCUUAAUAUUUCCAAGUCAUCCUAUUUCCAAGUCAGAAGGUCUAGCAGCCCGGGGCCUGAUUUCUGCAUGGUUCUGAUUGUCUAGAGCAAGGUCCCCUCUUGAAAUGGGGCAUGCAUUCUCUGGUUCAUUAUGGUCUCCACCAUUCUCUAAUGUCCUUCUUUUGCCUGAUCUGAAUCGUUCAUUUACAGAAUCUGCCUGGUAUUUCUAAGGCAUCUACUAUAUACCACUAGGAGGCUUCUAUUUAAGUAUGAAGCAAGACUCUUUUGGUUCAAAACCAUGCAGCAAUAAAUACUUCUUGAGAACUUUAAUGCCAACAAUAGAUAUUCCAAGAGAAUGAAGACAGAGUUGCAGGCUGCCUCAUCUCAGAGAUAAGGCUGUACAUGUUUUUCCCUAACUCUGUGCAUUUCUAGUCCUCAUGUAUGCAGAUUCUAAAGCUUAUUUGAAAGCAAAGUCUGAGUGACCCUCCGACCAUCUCAUAGGAGUUGCCCGAUGGGUCUAUCUCAGCUUUUCUUUUGAUGUUAUCUGAAUACUUCACUAAUUAGUCUAGUUUUUGAAUGACUAAAAUCUUAGAAAGAAGCUUUCUUGCUUUAACAGUGAGUGGGCUAGAAAAAACUAGGGCAUUAUGAAAUGGUUUUGGCAAAGCUCAGAAUUUUUGUGUGGCUAAUAAACUUUCCAUGGAUCCCUUCCUUGUUUUCUGGCCCUUGAGAAUACAGUGAGUUUUUUCAUCUCAAACUUGCAUAUCUAUGAAUUCUUCAGGUGAAAAAUCAAGCACUUGUUCUCAUAAUAAAAGGAAAGUUAUUUAGUCAGUGCUGAAGACAAAAUUAUUUUAAAUGUUACUGAUCACCUAAGAAUUCUCUUUGGACUUUCAUACCGCAAUUUUAGAAAUUUCCAUCAAAUAGUACUUGUUAAUUAAAUGCAGCUUUGUGGUUCUAGUAGGCUGACCAAUAAGCUUGUCCUUGCGACAGAAUCUAUCAUUUUACACUAAAGAAUUUACACGUAGAGUUCUCCCAUUGCCUAUAAGCAUAUCUAUUAACAUUUUGAAGAUUUAAGAUGUAUAGCAAUGAUUCUUCAAGCAUCUUUUUUUUUCCAAAAUAUUUUGAAAACAAUCUGGUUAUGAUAAAAGUAGCUGUUGUCAUCUUGAUUCUCUUGUAAUAAUCUUUCCAUUCGAUCUGCAUUUCUACCCUUGCUGCAGAGGAUUGACUGAAAAGAUAUGCAUCAAAACAUUUGUUUAAAAGAGGCAUAGCCCUUUGUUUGGAGAGCAGGAAUUGCUUAUUAACACUUCCUGUCUGAUAAAAUAUUGUAUUUUAAAAAAUAAGCUACAAUGUAUAAAACCAAGGUCAUUUCCCACAAAAUGUUCAUAUUCUUUGUGAUUACAAAACACUGCAUCUUGUAAAAUAUUUCCAGUUCUGCUAACUUGAGAAGUUAAGUACUAAUGCGUAUUAUAAAAGUGCCACAUCUCUCAGAAUUGUGGAAGCCUAAGCAGUAUAUUUCUUGUCUUAUUUGGAAAAUUAAGUUAUAAUCAUUCUUGUAUUUAAGAUUACAUUUUGACACAACACAUUGCCAUUGUGAUUCUCAGACUCACAAGAAAAGUUAUAAAACAUGAGAUUGUCUUCAAAAAAAGAGGAACUAUUUACAAAACAGGACCAGAAGUAAAAUUCCCAUUUUCAUUUCUGGUCCUUUGAUAGAUACACCUUUUAAAGCAUGUAUAUCAUUGGAUCUGGGCUUUUUCAAAGUCAGUCACGAGAAGCAAACCAGUUGGUCUUAAACACAUCCUUUCUUGCUCUAUGGGUGUGCCUUACUUAGUGACACAAUUGGUACCUAGAAGUGCUAAUCUCAUGGUAUUUACUGACUUCUGGUUUGACUAGCUACAAUGCAAAAGACAGAAGGAAACAGUUCUGCUAUGGAGGCACCCCCACAGGGGCAGGGGUGGGGAGAGCGUGUGUGCCGCUGGUUGGGUUAUUUUCUUAAGAGAAAUGAAAUUUCCAGUUGACCCGUGGGCCCAGCGCAUUCUCCAGAAUGAUCCACGUCCUCAUCCAUAUUCAUGAUGUCUGCUUUGUUUCCACUCAUUUGUAUGUACACAUUCUUCCCUGCGUUCAUACAGGUCAGAGCUACAGUUGAUGUGGUCAAUAGAAACUCUACAGGGUCAUGAAGAAAAGCAGCACCUUGUCCACAAAUGUCCAUGGAAGUUUGCUCCUUAACAUGCUAUUAAAGCAAAAUGCACAUCUUUCGUGUCCUUCACCUACAGAAUUCUGCGGAUAGCUAAUAACCAGCUGUUCAUCCAGUUGAUUAUAAAAAAGGAACACCAAGGUGUCAUACUCAACAACUACAUUCAGAAACAGCCUGAUGUGAGUCUGGGAACACCCACGAGGGACUGCACUGCGGUUCAGAUGUCAGCCUCAGACUAGGUCUAAGAUACAAAGAAACUGCUCUGUUUCAUAGAACAUUCCUCCACACCUCAAAAAGUCGGUACCGUCCAGUUCAUGGCAACUUGUCUUGAAAUGCUAUGAUGUUCAUUCAAAGACAAACAAACAAACAAACAAAGAACUGUUCUGCUAGAAAAGACGCUGGAGAUAAUAAAAGCCUUUCUAGUCUUAGGAACCUCCAGAUCUAUUUUUCACAUACCCUUUAGUUUUCCCUGAGGAAAUGAAUAUUUUUUUACAGUAUUUUGCUACUAUUCUCAAGGUAAUCUCUCUCAUACACACAACCCUUGCCACUCUUCUCUAAACAUUCCCAAAUGAAUGCUGCGCUUUCCUUUUCCAUUGAAGUCAGGUGACGGCAGAAAUGGGUUCUGCAGUGCUGGCUCAUUCAGAACCCAGGGCUGCUU
This 5888-nucleotide long non-coding RNA is filed under the name Sus scrofa (pig). RNAcentral's name for it is "lncRNA (ENSSSCG00000062426.1)". The record is from RNAcentral. Lineage: Eukaryota; Metazoa; Chordata; Mammalia; Artiodactyla; Suidae.